GACGAACGCUGGCGGCGUGCUUAACACAUGCAAGUCGAACGGAAAGGCCCUGCUUUUGUGGGGUGCUCGAUUGGCGAACGGGUGAGUAACACGUGAGUAACCUGCCCUUGACUUUGGGAUAACUUCAGGAAACUGGGGCUAAUACCGGAUAGGAUCUCCUGCUGCAUGGUGGGGGUUGGAGAGUUUCGGCGGUGGGGGCUCGACUCGCGGCUUAUCAGCUUGUUGGUGGGGUAGUUGCAUACCAAGGCUUUGACGGGUAGCCGGCCUGAGAGGGUUACCGGCCACCUUGGGACUGAGAUACGGACCAGAAGCCUACGGGCGGCAGCAGUGGGGAAUCUUGCACAAUGGGCGGAAGCCUGAUGCGGAAACGCCGCGUGCGGGAUGCCGGCCUUCGGGUUGUAAACCGAUUUCGCCUGUGACGAAGCGUGAGUGACGGUAAUGGGUAAAGAAGCACCGGCUAACUACGUG
This 468-nucleotide ribosomal RNA is filed under the name uncultured bacterium. Its description in RNAcentral is "partial 16S ribosomal RNA". It matches the Rfam family "Bacterial small subunit ribosomal RNA", at positions 28 to 507 of the family's 1533-position model. The record is from RNAcentral.